AAUAUUGAGUAUCACUUUAGAAUAUAUUAAACAACCUAUCAAGAUUAAUGAGCUUAUUCAGAAAAGAAAAUAAGUCCUGAUCAAUUUCAGCGUGUUUGGACCAGCAGAUUCCAGGUGAUGGAUAGGCAGCUUCAUUUUAAUAGUCUGUUGGUACAGGGUGACCUGUAGCCUUUCCAGAAGAGGUAAAAUGAAUCCUCCGGUUGUCACCCCCUCCUUCCUCGCUCCAAUUCCAUCAUUAAUCCCCGUUUGAGGAUUUGAGUGCUGCCGAGGACUGACAGACUCCAUGAGGUUCAGCUGCUGCCUGGUACAUGUGGUCACCUGCAGCUUCUUCAGCCCUACAUAUAUUUUGUGCUGUUUUAGACUGCUCUUUCUUCCAUUAAAUGAGAGAUUAGAUCUGAAUGGCCACGUGAUCUUCUGAGUCCCAUCUGUAAGAAUCUGCAUUUCCACGGAAUUGGGGGAGCAAACGUUCUCAAAACAUUCUUAAAUGCAAACCCGCAGGCACAGCAUGUGUCUGUCAACUCCAAGAGCAUUUGGAUGUUCGAAGGGAGAGGAUGUUUGACAUCUAACCCGUCGUGGAAAGAGGAGCCUCUACAGUGACAUGAAGGCAAUGGAUUCUCAGCAUUACAAGGCAAGACAGAACUUGAAGGAAGAAGGCUGGGAGGAAACCAAUGUUGAAUGAACACUGACUCUGUGCUCAGCCCUGAGCAAGCAGUGGAAUGCCCCUGGGCUGUGAGCCACGAAUUCAAAUCCCAGCUUGUAGAGCUGUUCUGGGGGUUAGAAGUUUGGGGUCCCUCGUUGCUGCACUCGUUCCAGGUUUGGGGCUGGCGCUGCCCUUCUGACCCCUCCCUAAAGUGGACACAGGAGAAGGAGCGGGGAGAAGAGACAGGCGGCCAGGAGACACCCUGUUGAGGGCUCCCUCUGCUUGCAACAGGACCUGCUGAGGUUGCAGCUGAAGUGCUGGUCUUCCCAGAGAAAACAACCCCUCAUUCUCAAAGGAUGAGAGUGAGCCCUGCGGGGCUGCAUGCUCUUGGCCAUGGGAGAUCAACUGUGGUCACAUAGAGUGUAAUCAGUGUGUAUUUAUGGAUCACUCACUACAUGCAAGACCGGGACACAGCCGGGAUUUACUGUGGGGCUGAAAGCAAGUCACUUAAAAAGAAACCGCCCCUUCCGUACACAGCAGUACCAAGCCCCGA
Molecule: long non-coding RNA, 1193 nt
Filed under: Homo sapiens (human)
Lineage: Eukaryota; Metazoa; Chordata; Mammalia; Primates; Hominidae
Description: HSALNT0237110
Source: RNAcentral